CAGCCGCCACGGGAACACGUAGGGUGCGAGCGUUAAUCGGAAUUACUGGGCGUAAAGCGUGCGCAGGCGGUUGUGUAAGACAGGUGUGAAAUCCCCGGGCUUAACCUGGGAACUGCGCUUGUGACUGCACAGCUAGAGUAUGGCAGAGGGGGGUGGAAUUCCACGUGUAGCAGUGAAAUGCGUAGAGAUGUGGAGGAACACCGAUGGCGAAGGCAGCCCCCUGGGCCAAUACUGACGCUCAUGCACGAAAGCGUGGGGAGCAAACAGGAUUAGAUACCCGCGUAGUCCCUGUCUCUUAUAC
Molecule: ribosomal RNA, 301 nt
Filed under: uncultured bacterium
Lineage: Bacteria
Description: partial 16S ribosomal RNA
Rfam family: Bacterial small subunit ribosomal RNA
Source: RNAcentral